This 438-nucleotide ribosomal RNA is filed under the name uncultured bacterium. Its description in RNAcentral is "bacterial SSU rRNA". It matches the Rfam family "Bacterial small subunit ribosomal RNA", at positions 32 to 507 of the family's 1533-position model. The record is from RNAcentral.
GAAGACGCUGGCGGCAGGCCUAAAACAUGCGAAGUCGAACGGGUGUAGCAAUACAUCAGUGGCGCACGGGUGAGUAACGCGUGGGAACGUGCCCUUCAGUACGGGACAACGUCGGGAAACUGACGCUAAUACCGUAUAAUAGUCUCCGGAUCAAAAGAUUUAUCGCUGAAGGAUCGGCCCGCGUCUGAUUAGUUUGUUGGUGAGGUAACGGCUCACCCAAGACUACGAUCAGUAGCUGGUCUGAGAGGAUGAUCAGCCACACUGGGACUGAGACACGGCCCAGACUCCUACGGGAGGCAGCAGUUAGGAAUAUUGGACAAUGGGGGAAACCCUGAUCCAGCCAUGCCGCGUGUGUGAUGAAGGCCUUAGGGUUGUAAAGCACUUUCGUUGGGGAUGAUAAUGACCGUACCCAAAGAAGAAGCCACGGCUAAAUUCGUG